This is a long non-coding RNA of Bolinopsis microptera, 935 nucleotides long. RefSeq lists it as uncharacterized. NCBI's taxonomy places the organism in Eukaryota, Metazoa, Ctenophora, Tentaculata, Lobata, Bolinopsidae. The record is from RefSeq and is a predicted model, not a curated record. The transcript is spliced from 2 exons.
GCUCAAUAAUGCAUUUUUCGGUAAAACCAUGGAAAAUGUGCGGAAACGUGUCAAAAUUGUCCUUGUAAACAACAGUAGAGGUCAUUUUUGGCAGACCUCCAAACCUACUUUUAAGCGUUUUCAGAUUUUUAAUGAAAGCCUUGUAGGUGUUGAGCUUGCACAAACAAAUUUGACGCUUGAUAAACCAAUUUAUGUUGGUUUUACUGUGCUGGAGUUAUCAAAACUCCUAAUGUUUAAGUUUCAUUACACGGUCAUGCAAGCCAACUUUGACAAACUGGAACUAUGCUUCACUGACACAGACAGUUUCCUUUACCACAUUUACUGCAAGAACCUGUACUUGGAACACCUGGAGAGGCUAAAGAAUCACUUUGACUUCUCAAAGUAUCCUAGAGAUCAUCCGCUGUAUUCAGAUACAAACAGAGCAGUAGUUGGAAAAUUCAAAGACGAAACUAAUGGAGUAGCAAUCGUUGAGUUCAUAGGGCUUCGCUCAAAGUGUUACUCUAUUCUAACUGGAGCUGGAAAGCAAAAGAGCACGGCUGCUGGUGUGAAACACAAUGUCCGUAACCGAAAACUGAACCAUGAUCUCUAUAGACAAGUCUUGUUCAACACAAUGAGAAAUCCUGAUACAGAAGAUUCUGACACAGAAGAUCACUUUAUAGAGCAAAAGACUUUUCGAUCACAGAAACAUGUGAUUUUCACCAUAAAUCAGAGAAAAGUUGGACUAACAAGAUAUGAUGACAAACGAUAUAUUUUGUCAGAUGGGGUAUCAACACGUGCACAUGGAAAUUUUAAAAAUGUGCAAGGUGGCUGAUGCUUUAAAUUUCAUUUUUGGUUCAAUCUUUCUUUUUUUUUUUUUUUUUAGUUUUAAUUGAUUUUGUAACUUGUAUAUAUUGUAAUGUUAGAUAUUCAAUUUAUUUAAUAAUUUGUUUAUGAAA